RNAcentral lists this ribosomal RNA (492 nucleotides) under uncultured bacterium. Its description in RNAcentral is "partial 16S ribosomal RNA". It matches the Rfam family "Bacterial small subunit ribosomal RNA", at positions 29 to 507 of the family's 1533-position model. The record is from RNAcentral.
AGUGAACGCUGGCGGUAGGCCUAACACAUGCAAGUCGAACGGCAGCACAGUAAGAGCUUGCUCUUACGGGUGGCGAGUGGCGGACGGGUGAGGAAUACAUCGGAAUCUACUUUUUCGUGGGGUAUAACGUAGGGAAACUUACGCUAAUACCGCAUACGACCUACGGGUGAAAGCAGGGGAUCUUCGGACCUUGCGCGAUUGAAUGAGCCGAUGUCGGAUUAGCUAGUUGGCGGGGUAAAGGCCCACCAAGGCGACGAUCCGUAGCUGGUCUGAGAGGAUGAUCAGCCACACUGGAACUGAGACACGGUCCAGACUCCUACAGGAGGCAGCAGUGGGGAAUAUUGGACAAUGGGCGCAAGCCUGAUCCAGCCAUACCGCGUGGGUGAAGAAGGCCUUCGGGUUGUAAAGCCCUUUUGUUGGGAAAGAAAAGCAGAAGGUUAAUACCCCGCUGUUCUGACGGUACCCAAAGAAUAAGCACCGGCUAACUUCGUG